Sciurus carolinensis (gray squirrel) is the source of this 2160-nucleotide long non-coding RNA. RefSeq lists it as uncharacterized. The record is from RefSeq and is a predicted model, not a curated record. NCBI's taxonomy places the organism in Eukaryota, Metazoa, Chordata, Mammalia, Rodentia, Sciuridae. The transcript is spliced from 3 exons.
GGAGCCCUGAGCUCUAGGGGCAUCAUCUUUCAUAGAGUGCAGGGGUUAGCAUGCUGGGCAGCAGUUACAGCUUGUGCAAAUGCCCUGUGGCAGGACUGAGCAAGGCUUUGACCAGUACAGGUGGAGUGUAGAAAGAGAGGCAGGCUGUGAGGCUGGAAGCCUGGAGGUCAGACUAGAGCAUUGAUUCUCUAUCUUGGGAAUACAUCAGCAUUACUUAGGGAGAUGGGAUUAUUAAAACUCAGAUUCUAGGGUCUCAUUCCUAGAAUUUCUGGUUCAAAUUCUAGGUCGGGGAUCCUAUCCCAGAAUGUUCAUUUCCAACAACUUUGUGGGUGAUGCCGUUGCUGGUGGGAGGAUCACAUUUUGAGAAACGCUCCCCAUGGAAUUUAAGAGUCGGGGGAGACUCAGGACUUUCUGAGGAGGGAUCCAAUCAGAUUUGAAACUAUCUGUGGUGAACACCUGAGAGCCAACAGGAGUGAAGCCCACGGGGGGGCAAUGACUAAGGAGCAGCUUUUCCAAGGUCUCUGGGUGAAGGAGGGAAGUGUUUGGAUCAGCUCUGCGGCUCGGGAUGGGAAGAAGAAGAAGCCAGUUCUGAACAAUGUUCAGGUAGUGGAAUGGGCAGGUGCUGGAGAUGAACUGGACCAGAUGGGAGAUGAAAUUCCCAGGCUCUCAGACAGGGCUCUACCCUUGCUUUAAUGCAAUUCUUCUUUAUUUAUUUUCUGAAUAAGAUGUGCAUUUUCAUUUUGUAGUUCUGGCUUUUGCAACGUUGGAGUGGCAGUUACUUCCCUGUCCCUCACCUCCACCCUCACAAAGUGAAUUGGGCACUGAUCGAAUGGAGGAGUCCUUCUCCCGUCCACCCCGUGACUCCCAGGCGCCUCUCUCCCCAACUCUUCCCCAGUCUUACAAUCAUUUCUUUGUGUAUCACGGGCCCAUCCUCCUGGAAGACUCCGUCCGGCUUCUGCUUCUCCAGGAUCAGCCAUUUCACAGCCCCGCAGAGGACCUGGGAGUCGAUGGCAAUGAGGUUGACCGCCAGAGAGAAGACCUUGACCACGUACGCCGUCAGCCUGGGGCGGAGGGCGGACACAGAGAGUGAACCAAUCGACUUUGGGAUCUAGAGACUGCCAUUCCACUUGCCCAAUGGGAAGAGCGGGGCGGGGCCUGGCUCGGUGGCCGGAUUUCCCUGCCUAGGACUCCAGAGUUGGGCUAAGUUAGAGCUUAAAGACUCUACCGCCGCCGGUCACUCAGCCAGCGGAUGCGUUGACUGAAGGCUGACAUGUCCACGGUAGGGUCGCACAGGGCUGUUUGGGUCCGGCCGGCCUAGACCACCCCUGGCUGGAACCCAGGCCCUGCUCAGCCAGGUGCGAGGCGGAGGCUGGCCAAGCUGACCACUCCGACUCACCAGCAGAAAAUGCUCUUUGCUGAAGUCAACAGUGCCAGGAGGCCCCUUUAAAACAGAUCCGAGAGGCGCUGUUCCCGCUGAAGUGGAGGCAGGCGCUGUGGCUGACAGUCAGUUUGACUCUUAGGUGCACGUGUGGGAAGAUAGCAAGCUAACUGGCCGCUCUCCGGAAUAUAUCUGCGCAUCCAGCGGGUACCCCGAAGCCACGUGGGGUCAUCACCCAGCUGGACAUGUGCUGGCUGGAGUGGGACUGGAUAUUUACUUUUAUUUAAUUUACCUCAUUUUCACUUAUUUAAUCUCACCCAAAUUUAAACUAAAAAGCUACUGCUCAAAGAUAUAUGUUGUGAAUAAGGUAACAGCUUAUGAGUUGCACAGUUUAGAAGGGUGAUGUUUACCAGUGAGUUAAAUCUCAAUUUACAAAACAGCAAUGCUUGAUUCAGCGACUGGGAAACGUUUAAGUAUGUUUAUAACAACUUGGGCUUGCGAAUUUGCCUUUUCAACUGUAAACAUCAUGAAAUCCGAAAUAUAGAUCGAAAAUAUUUCCAGUGAAAAUCUAGUCCUGAGCUGCUCAAGUGAAAUACACACCAGAUUGUGAAGACUAGUGCAAAUAAGAGAAAAAUUUAGCACUAAUAAUUUUUGACAUAUUCAUAAAUUAUUAAACAUUAAAAGAUUAUUAUAACAUUUGUGUAAUAGUAGUUUUGUAACUUUUUAAUAAAAUGUAAUGAUACUAUUUUGGAUAUAUUUAGUUAUAUAAGUACUAUGAUAAA